CCCCACCCUCACCAGGCAUGGCUCAGGUCAGGACUUGGCUCUGCUCCUCACUAUGGCAAGACAUUGUCAUGAAAGAAGGCAGGGCUUUGACUAAGAUCCUGGUGCAAGUUCAUCAUUCCAGGCAGCUGCUCCAGACCAUUUUUCUCACUGCAGCUGUGCCGUCAGGACUCGCCACACAAAGCUCAGUCUCCAAACUACACCUGUUGGCAAUGUUGCUGUGCAUGGUUCAAAUUGGUUCAGAGCUAACAGUUUUGUCGGCAAUGAAGCUAUAAACAAAUUUCUCAUUUUGCAUCAUCAUCGUAUUCAAAUGACACGUGCAUUGUGUCAUCCAUAACAGUCCAUCAGGUCAUGAUGGAAAAUCUUUUGGUAGUUUCAUUUAUUCUGACUUCUAUCACUGAACUUCUAUUUCACUAACCAGCUCCUUGAUGUGCUGAGAAGUGGUGUCUUUGGAAAGUUGUGCCCAAGCUCUUUCUAUGCCACAGACACACCCAAUAUUUUCAAGCUAUGACUUUGGUGCUUCAAGCCUGUGAUGCAGUUUUCCAUGAACAUGUCAGCCUUCAUGUAUACUUGUUUGGUAACUUGGUACCAAGGUACCACUUUGUCAAGAACCUGAAAAGUACUGGUUUAUGUAUGUGAAACAUUAAAAAUCUGGUGCUGCCAGCUUCUCAACUUAA
Leopardus geoffroyi (Geoffroy's cat) is the source of this 674-nucleotide long non-coding RNA. RefSeq lists it as uncharacterized. The record is from RefSeq and is a predicted model, not a curated record. NCBI's taxonomy places the organism in Eukaryota, Metazoa, Chordata, Mammalia, Carnivora, Felidae. The transcript has 2 exons.